This 474-nucleotide ribosomal RNA is filed under the name uncultured bacterium. RNAcentral describes it as "SSU rRNA". It matches the Rfam family "Bacterial small subunit ribosomal RNA", at positions 26 to 518 of the family's 1533-position model. The record is from RNAcentral.
AGGACGAACGCUGGCGGCGUGCUUAACACAUGCAAGUCGAACGGAUUCGUGGCACUUGUGUUGCGGGUUAGUGGCGAACGGGUGAGUAACACGUGAGUAACCUGCCCCAGACUCUGGGAUAACUCCGGGAAACCGGUGCUAAUACUGGAUAUGACAUCAAGCCGCAUGGUUAUGGUGUGGAAAGUUUUUCGGUCUGGGAUGGGCUCGCGGCCUAUCAGCUUGUUGGUGGGGUAACGGCCUACCAAGGCGACGACGGGUAGCCGGCCUGAGAGGGCGACCGGCCACACUGGGACUGAGACACGGCCCAGACUCCUACGGGAGGCAGCAGUGGGGAAUAUUGCGCAAUGGGCGGAAGCCUGACGCAGCGACGCCGCGUGGGGAUGAAGGCCUUCGGUUGUAACCCUUCAGCAGGGACGAAGCGGAAGUGACGGUACCUGCAGAAGAAGCGCCGGCUAACUACGUGCCAGCAGCCGC